This 203-nucleotide non-coding RNA is filed under the name Deltaproteobacteria bacterium. The record is from RNAcentral. Lineage: Bacteria; Pseudomonadati; Myxococcota; Myxococcia.
AUCAGUAUUUUUAAUUCGGGUGCUCAUGUUGAGCCAAACAGGGAAUCCCUUGAAAAUAGGGAACGGGCCCGCCGCUGUAAUCCCGCCCUUUUCGUGAUGAAAAGGAACCCUUUUAGCCUCGCGCGUCACUGUUUCAAUCAGGAAUGGGAAGGCCGCUAAAAGGGUGGGUAAGUCAGAAGACCUGCCUGAAGGAAAGAUGCAUC